Molecule: ribosomal RNA, 253 nt
Filed under: uncultured bacterium
Lineage: Bacteria
Description: partial 16S ribosomal RNA
Rfam family: Bacterial small subunit ribosomal RNA
Source: RNAcentral
GACGUAGGGCGCGAGCGUUGUCCGGAAUCAUUGGGCGUAAAGAGCGUGUAGGCGGCUAUUUAAGUCCUGCGUGAAAUCCUGCGGCUCAACCGCAGACGGUCGUGGGAAACUGGAUGGCUAGAGUGCGGGAGAGGAGAGUGGAAUUCCCGGUGUAGCGGUGAAAUGCGUAGAUAUCAGGAGGAACACCGAUGGCGAAGGCAGCUCGCUGGAACGGUACUGACGCUGAGGCGCGAAAGCGUGGGGAGCGAACAGG